GUCUGCAUGGAGCCGACCUUGAAAUACCACCCUUUAAUGUUUGAUGUUCUAACGUGGACCCGUAAUCCGGGUUGCGGACAGUGUCUGGUGGGUAGUUUGACUGGGGCGGUCUCCUCCUAAAGAGUAACGGAGGAGCACGAAGGUUGGCUAAUCCUGGUCGGACAUCAGGAGGUUAGUGCAAUGGCAUAAGCCAGCUUGACUGCGAGCGUGACGGCGCGAGCAGGUGCGAAAGCAGGUCAUAGUGAUCCGGUGGUUCUGAAUGGAAGGGCCAUCGCUCAACGGAUAAAAGGUACUCCGGGGAUAACAGGCUGAUACCGCCCAAGAGUUCAUAUCGACGGCGGUGUUUGGCACCUCGAUGUCGGCUCAUCACAUCCUGGGGCUGAAGUAGGUCCCAAGGGUAUGGCUGUUCGCCAUUUAAAGUGGUACGCGAGCUGGGUUUAGAACGUCGUGAGACAGUUCGGUCCCUAUCUGCCGUGGGCGCUGGAGAACUGAGGGGGGCUGCUCCUAGUACGAGAGGACCGGAGUGGACGCAUCACUGGUGUUCGGGUUGUCA
This 553-nucleotide ribosomal RNA is filed under the name Salmonella enterica. RNAcentral describes it as "partial 23S ribosomal RNA". It matches the Rfam family "Bacterial large subunit ribosomal RNA", at positions 2174 to 2726 of the family's 2925-position model. The record is from RNAcentral. Lineage: Bacteria; Pseudomonadati; Pseudomonadota; Gammaproteobacteria; Enterobacterales; Enterobacteriaceae.